GAAUUUAGAAUUAUAGGGGUAUAACAAAAAGAGAAAAUUCAAGAAAACUUAACUUUGCUAUACUUAUUUUUUUUCACUAAACUUCACAAGAUUGCUUUGCCCCUGUUCAAGCAAAGAGAGAAAAAAAAAACUGUGAGUUUUAAACUUGGUAGUUGGUUUGUGGCCUUGAAUCCCUUGGAGGUUUGCCUUAUCCUUGCCCCAACUUGAUACGGUUGAUUAAACUAAUUAGUUGGCCAGCUUGAAUCUUCGUCUUCCAAAUUCUGUUGAAUCUUUGUUUGUUUCAGUAUGAUUCUAAUCUUCAUUUUCAAAUGCUUCACUCGUAACACUUAUCUUAACUGGUUCUCUGUCCUUGUCAAGGUGGUGAACGCCCAAUAAUCUCUGCUUAAUUUCACUGGGAGCCAU
Molecule: long non-coding RNA, 402 nt
Filed under: Capsicum annuum
Lineage: Eukaryota; Viridiplantae; Streptophyta; Magnoliopsida; Solanales; Solanaceae
Description: long non-coding RNA (CANN_LNC012183)
Source: RNAcentral